This 479-nucleotide ribosomal RNA is filed under the name Staphylococcus epidermidis CIM37. Its description in RNAcentral is "bacterial LSU rRNA". It matches the Rfam family "Bacterial large subunit ribosomal RNA", at positions 1 to 468 of the family's 2925-position model. The record is from RNAcentral. Lineage: Bacteria; Bacillati; Bacillota; Bacilli; Caryophanales; Staphylococcaceae.
GUUUGGUUAAGUUAGAAAGGGCGCACGGUGGAUGCCUUGACACUAGGAGUCGAUGAAGGACGGGACUAACGCCGAUAUGCUUCGGGGAGCUGUAAGUAAGCUUUGAUCCGAAGAUUUCCGAAUGGGGAAACCCACCAUACGUAAUGGUAUGGUAUCCUUAUCUGAAUACAUAGGGUAAGGAAGACAGACCCAGGGAACUGAAACAUCUAAGUACCUGGAGGAAGAGAAAGCAAAUGCGAUUUCCUGAGUAGCGGCGAGCGAAACGGAACAUAGCCCAAACCAAGAGGCUUGCCUCUUGGGGUUGUAGGACAUUCUAUACGGAGUUACAAAGGAACGAGGUAGACGAAGCGACCUGGAAAGGUCCGUCGUAGAGGGUAACAACCCCGUAGUCGAAACUUCGUUCUCUCUUGAAUGUAUCCUGAGUACGGCGGAACACGUGAAAUUCCGUCGGAAUCUGGGAGGACCAUCUCCCAAGGCUA